AAGUAAAUGGCUCCGUUGUGUGGAUGGGUGCAGGGUUAACUUGGUUUAACGCUGCUAAAUUUGCCUAAAAGCGUAGUGUAGCCCAGACCACUGCCUCUCAGGACAGGGGUAG
Molecule: non-coding RNA, 112 nt
Organism: Chelonoidis abingdonii (Abingdon island giant tortoise)
Lineage: Eukaryota; Metazoa; Chordata; Testudines; Testudinidae
Source: RefSeq, a predicted model, not a curated record